CCUACGGGAGGCAGCAGUGAGGAAUAUUGGACAAUGGACGAGAGCCUGAUCCAGCCAAGUCGCGUGAAGGAUGACUGCCCUAUGGGUUGUAAACUUCUUUUAUAUGGGAAUAAAAUGUUCCACGUGUGGGAUUUUGUAUGUACCAUAUGCAUAAGGAUCGGCUAACUCCGUGCCAGCAGCCGCGGUAAUACGGAGGGUCCGAGCGUUAUCCGGAUUUAUUGGGUGUAAAGGGAGCGUAGGUGGAUUGUUAAGUCAGUUGUGAAAGUUUGCGGCUCAACCGUAAAAUUGCAGUUGAAACUGGCAGUCUUGAGUACAGUAGAGGUGGGCGGAAUUCGUGGUGUAGCGGUGAAAUGCUUAGAUAUCACGAAGAACACCGAUGGCGAAGGCAGUUCACUGGACUGCAACUGACACUGAGGCUCGAAAGUGUGGGUAGCAAACAGGAUUAGAUACCCCUGUAGUC
This 460-nucleotide ribosomal RNA is filed under the name uncultured bacterium. RNAcentral describes it as "partial 16S ribosomal RNA". It matches the Rfam family "Bacterial small subunit ribosomal RNA", at positions 338 to 795 of the family's 1533-position model. The record is from RNAcentral.